UAGGGAAUCUUCGGCAAUGGGGGGAACCCUGACCGAGCAACGCCGCGUGAGUGAAGAAGGUUUUCGGAUCGUAAAGCUCUGUUGUAAGAGAAGAACGGGUGUGAGAGUGGAAAGUUCACACUGUGACGGUAUCUUACCAGAAAGGGACGGCUAACUACGUGCCAGCAGCCGCGGUAAUACGUAGGUCCCGAGCGUUGUCCGGAUUUAUUGGGCGUAAAGCGAGCGCAGACGGUUAGAUAAGUCUGAAGUUAAAGGCUGUGGCUUAACCAUAGUAUGCUUUGGAAACUGUUUAACUUGAGUGCAGAAGGGGAGAGUGGAAUUCCAUGUGUAGCGGUGAAAUGCGUAGAUAUAUGGAGGAACACCGGUGGCGAAAGCGGCUCUCUGGUCUGUAACUGACGCUGAGGCUCGAAAGCGUGGGGAGCAAACAGGAUUAGAUACCCUGGUAGUCCACGCCGUAAACGAUGAGUGCUAGGUGUUAGGCCCUUUCCGGGGCUUAGUGCCGCAGCUAACGCAUUAAGCACUCCGCCUGGGGAGUACGACCGCAAGGUUG
RNAcentral lists this ribosomal RNA (550 nucleotides) under uncultured bacterium. RNAcentral describes it as "bacterial SSU rRNA". It matches the Rfam family "Bacterial small subunit ribosomal RNA", at positions 355 to 896 of the family's 1533-position model. The record is from RNAcentral.